GCCAGCGGCCAUACUGCGUCGAAUACACCGGAUCCCAUCCGAACUCCGAAGUAAGCGGCGCA
Molecule: ribosomal RNA, 62 nt
Filed under: Perkinsus marinus ATCC 50983
Lineage: Eukaryota; Perkinsozoa; Perkinsida; Perkinsidae
Source: RNAcentral